Molecule: ribosomal RNA, 512 nt
Filed under: uncultured bacterium
Lineage: Bacteria
Description: partial 16S ribosomal RNA
Rfam family: Bacterial small subunit ribosomal RNA
Source: RNAcentral
GACGAACGCUGGCGGCGUGCUUAACACAUGCAAGUCGAACGAAAAGAGGGAAAGAGCUUGCUCUUUCCGGAAUUGAGUGGCAAACGGGUGAGUAACACGUAAACAACCUGCCUUCAGGAUGGGGACAACAGACGGAAACGACUGCUAAUACCGAAUAAGUUCCAAGGGCCGCAUGGCCCAUGGAAGAAAAGGUGGCCUCUACCUGUAAGCUAUCGCCUGAAGAGGGGUUUGCGUCUGAUUAGCUGGUUGGAGGGGUAACGGCCCACCAAGGCGACGAUCAGUAGCCGGCCGGGGAGGAUGACCGACCACACUGGAACGGGGACACGGUCCGACCUCCUAGGGGGGGCACCGGUGGGAAUCUUCCGCAAUGGGCGAAAGCCUGACGGAGCAACGCCGCGUGAGUGAUGACGGCCUUCGGGUUGUAAAACUCUGUGAUCCGGGACGAAAAGGCAGAGUGCGAAGAACAAACUGCAUUGACGGUACCGGAAAAGCAAGCCACGGCUAACUACGUG